CGAGUCGGUUGGAUGAUCGCGGCGACCUUAGGGUUGUCGAGGAAAGUCCGGACUCCACAGGGCAAGAGUGGUGGAUAACGUCCACCUGGGGCGACCCACGGGAAAGUGCAACAGAAAGUAAACCGCCUAUCUGCAUUUAUUUGCGGAUCGGUAAGGGUGAAACGGUGAGGUAAGAGCUCACCAGCGCACAUGGUGACAUGAGCGGCUAGGUAAACCCCACUCGGAGCAAGACCAAGUGGACUUUAGAGUCCACCGCAGGUGACGGCCCGUCGCCGCUUCGUGCGGCAGCCUGCGGGUAGGUUGCAUCAGGUUGUUGGUAACAGCAAUCGCAGAUGGAUGGUCAUCACGCGCAAGCGUACAGAAUCCGGCUUACAGACCGACUCGUCUA
Molecule: RNase P RNA, 388 nt
Filed under: Actinomycetota bacterium
Lineage: Bacteria; Bacillati; Actinomycetota
Description: Actinobacteria bacterium RNase P RNA component class A
Rfam family: Bacterial RNase P class A
About the family: Ribonuclease P (RNase P) is a ubiquitous endoribonuclease, found in archaea, bacteria and eukarya as well as chloroplasts and mitochondria. Its best characterised activity is the generation of mature 5'-ends of tRNAs by cleaving the 5'-leader elements of precursor-tRNAs. Cellular RNase Ps are ribonucleoproteins.
Source: RNAcentral